Molecule: long non-coding RNA, 345 nt
Organism: Bolinopsis microptera
Lineage: Eukaryota; Metazoa; Ctenophora; Tentaculata; Lobata; Bolinopsidae
Exons: 3
Source: RefSeq, a predicted model, not a curated record
GUGAUACAGCGAGGACUUUAACGUCAGAAUGACGGUGGGAUCUUUUUUCAGCCACCUCAAAAUGGUAACCAGUCAGAAGUUGAGUACAAGACACAUGAUAGGAAUAGGUGUGGUGGCGAUGCUCGUUGUCAUAGCAACAGUAGCUGGCGUUGUUGCAACUAAUAAAUCCAAAUCUCCGAAACAAGGAGUCUGUACCGGACUUCCUUUCACCUGGGACCCCAAUCUAACGACCAACCAGUCCGAUUCCGUGAGUCCGGGACAGACAGUUUCUCUGAGUUGCCAAGGAGACUCCUUGUUGAACAUGGGUGACAGUGUGGUAGAGUGUGUGGGUGGUACUCGGUAUAA